Molecule: ribosomal RNA, 253 nt
Filed under: uncultured bacterium
Lineage: Bacteria
Description: partial 16S ribosomal RNA
Rfam family: Bacterial small subunit ribosomal RNA
Source: RNAcentral
UACGUAGGGGGCUAGCGUUGUCCGGAAUCAUUGGGCGUAAAGCGCGCGUAGGCGGCCCGGUAAGUCCGCUGUAAAAGUCAGAGGCUCAACCUUUGAAUGUCAGUGGAUACUGCCGGGCUAGAGUCCGGAAGAGGCGAGUGGAACUCCUGGUGUAGCGGUGGAAUGCGCAGAUAUCAGGAAGAACACCAACGGCGAAGGCAGCUCGCUGGGACGGAACUGACGCUAAGGCGCGAAAGCGUGGGGAGCGAACAGG